Molecule: ribosomal RNA, 465 nt
Filed under: uncultured bacterium
Lineage: Bacteria
Description: bacterial SSU rRNA
Rfam family: Bacterial small subunit ribosomal RNA
Source: RNAcentral
GGAGGAAAGUAGGGGAUCGUAAGACCUUGCGCUUUGGGAGCGGCCGAUGUCUGAUUAGCUAGUUGGUGGGGUAAAGGCCUACCAAGGCGACGAUCAGUAGUUGGUCUGAGAGGACGACCAGCCACACUGGGACUGAGACACGGCCCAGACUCCUACGGGAGGCAGCAGUGGGGAAUUUUGGACAAUGGGCGCAAGCCUGAUCCAGCAAUGCCGCGUGAGUGAAGAAGGCCUUCGGGUUGUAAAGCUCUUUCAGCCGGGAAGAAAAUGCAUGGGUUAAUACCCUGUGCAGAUGACGGUACCGGAAGAAGAAGCACCGGCUAACUACGUGCCAGCAGCCGCGGUAAUACGUAGGGUGCGAGCGUUAAUCGGAAUUACUGGGCGUAAAGGGUGCGCAGGCGGUUUUGUAAGUCAGAUGUGAAAUCCCCGGACUUAACCUGGGAACUGCGUUUGAAACUACAAGGCUAG